Molecule: ribosomal RNA, 527 nt
Filed under: Burkholderia cenocepacia
Lineage: Bacteria; Pseudomonadati; Pseudomonadota; Betaproteobacteria; Burkholderiales; Burkholderiaceae
Description: bacterial LSU rRNA
Rfam family: Bacterial large subunit ribosomal RNA
Source: RNAcentral
UCAUAGUGAUCCGGUGGUUCUGUAUGGAAGGGCCAUCGCUCAACGGAUAAAAGGUACUCUGGGGAUAACAGGCUGAUACCGCCCAAGAGUUCAUAUCGACGGCGGUGUUUGGCACCUCGAUGUCGGCUCAUCUCAUCCUGGGGCUGUAGCCGGUCCCAAGGGUAUGGCUGUUCGCCAUUUAAAGAGGUACGUGAGCUGGGUUUAAAACGUCGUGAGACAGUUUGGUCCCUAUCUGCCGUGGGCGUUGGAUAUUUGAAGGGGGCUGCUCCUAGUACGAGAGGACCGGAGUGGACGAACCUCUGGUGUACCGGUUGUCACGCCAGUGGCAUCGCCGGGUAGCUAUGUUCGGAAGAGAUAACCGCUGAAAGCAUCUAAGCGGGAAACUCGCCUUAAGAUGAGAUAUCCCUGGGGACUAGAUCCCCUUGAAGGGUCGUUCGAGACCAGGACGUUGAUAGGUCAGGUGUGUAAGCGCAGUAAUGCGUUCAGCUAACUGAUACUAAUUGCCCGUAAGGCUUGAUCCUAUAACA